RNAcentral lists this ribosomal RNA (366 nucleotides) under uncultured eukaryote. Its description in RNAcentral is "partial 18S ribosomal RNA". It matches the Rfam family "Eukaryotic small subunit ribosomal RNA", at positions 592 to 976 of the family's 1831-position model. The record is from RNAcentral.
CAAUAGCGUAUAUUAAAGUUGUUGCAGUUAAAAAGCUCGUAGUUGAAUUUCUGGGCGGCCCGCCGGUCUUCCAAGUGUUGUACUGGGCGGCGCCGGCCAUGCUUGUGGAGAGGGCUCGCAUUUGGUUGUGGGUCGGAUCUGCAUCAUUUACUGUGAAAAAAUUAGAGUGUUUAAAGCAGGCUGUCGCUUGAAUACAUUAGCAUGGAAUAAUAAGAUAGGACUUCGGUCUAUUUUGUUGGUUGCGAACCGAGGUAAUGAUUAAUAGGGAUAGUUGGGGGUAUUCAUAUUUAAUUGUCAGAGGUGAAAUUCUUGGAUUUAUGAAAGAUGAACAACUGCGAAAGCAUUUACCAAGGAUGUUUUCAUUAA